GCUCGCUUGGCCCAGGGGUAAGGCGUGUCACUCGUAGUCUCAAAAAACCUUUUCCAGUGAGAUGACAAGAUCAUCGGUUCGAAUCCGAUAGUGAGCA
Transfer RNA from Exophiala xenobiotica, 97 nucleotides. It matches the Rfam family "tRNA". Rfam says of the family: Transfer RNA (tRNA) molecules are approximately 80 nucleotides in length. Their secondary structure includes four short double-helical elements and three loops (D, anti-codon, and T loops). Further hydrogen bonds mediate the characteristic L-shaped molecular structure. tRNAs have two regions of fundamental functional importance: the anti-codon, which is responsible for specific mRNA codon recognition, and the 3' end, to which the tRNAs corresponding amino acid is attached (by aminoacyl-tRNA synthetases). tRNAs cope with the degeneracy of the genetic code in two manners: having more than one tRNA (with a specific anti-codon) for a particular amino acid; and 'wobble' base-pairing, i.e. permitting non-standard base-pairing at the 3rd anti-codon position. Lineage: Eukaryota; Fungi; Ascomycota; Eurotiomycetes; Chaetothyriales; Herpotrichiellaceae. The record is from Rfam.